AGAGUUUGAUCAUGGCUCAGGACGAACGCUGGCGGCGUGCCUAAUACAUGCAAGUCGAGCGGGGGUGGUGAGGUAGCUUGCUAUUGAGCCACCCUAGCGGCGGACGGGUGAGUAACGCGUGGGCAACCUACCCUGUAGGCUGGGAUAACAGGUCGAAAGGCCUGCUAAUACCGGAUGAGCUCGCGGGGUCGCAUGGCCUUGUGAGGAAAGGGGAGACCCGCUACGGGAUGGGCCCGCGUCCCAUUAGCUAGUUGGUGAGGUAACGGCUCACCAAGGCGACGAUGGGUAGCCGGCCUGAGAGGGCGACCGGCCACACUGGAACUGAGACACGGUCCAGACUCCUACGGGGGGCAGCAGUAGGGAAUCUUCGGCAAUGGGCGAAAGCCUGACCGAGCGACGCCGCGUGAGGGAAGAAGGUCUUCGGAUUGUAAACCUCUGUCUAGGGGGACGAGGAAGGACGGUACCCCUGGAGGAAGCCCCGGCUAACUACGUGCCAGCAGCCGCGGUAAUACGUAGGGGGCGAGCGUUGUCCGGAAUUACUGGGCGUAAAGGGCGCGCAGGCGGCCAUGUAAGUCAGGUGUGAAAGGCCGAGGCUCAACUUCGGUUAGACGUCUGAUACUGCGUGGCUUGAGGGCAAGAGAGGGAAGUGGAAUUCCCGGUGUAGCGGUGAAAUGCGUAGAUAUCGGGAGGAACACCAGUGGCGAAGGCGGCUUCCUGGAUUGUACCUGACGCUCAUGCGCGAAAGCUGGGGGGAGCGAACGGGGAUUAGAUACCCCGGUAGUCCCAGCCGUAAACGAUGGAUGCUAGGUGUAGGAGGUAUCGACCCCUCCUGUGCCGCAGCUAACGCAUUAAGCAUCCCGCCUGGGGGAGUACGGCCGGCAAGGUUGAAACUCAAAUGAAUUGACGG
Molecule: ribosomal RNA, 907 nt
Filed under: Firmicutes bacterium enrichment culture clone BSK_125
Lineage: Bacteria; Bacillati; Bacillota
Description: bacterial SSU rRNA
Rfam family: Bacterial small subunit ribosomal RNA
Source: RNAcentral